GCCGGCGUAGCUCAGCGGUUAGAGCGUUGGAAUCAUAAUCCAUUGGUCGGGGGUUCGAAUCCCUCCGCCGGCA
Molecule: transfer RNA, 73 nt
Filed under: Candidatus Wildermuthbacteria bacterium
Lineage: Bacteria; Candidatus Wildermuthiibacteriota
Description: tRNA-Met
Rfam family: tRNA
About the family: Transfer RNA (tRNA) molecules are approximately 80 nucleotides in length. Their secondary structure includes four short double-helical elements and three loops (D, anti-codon, and T loops).
Source: RNAcentral